RNAcentral lists this ribosomal RNA (254 nucleotides) under uncultured bacterium. Its description in RNAcentral is "partial 16S ribosomal RNA". It matches the Rfam family "Bacterial small subunit ribosomal RNA", at positions 524 to 776 of the family's 1533-position model. The record is from RNAcentral.
UACGUAGGGUGCAAGCGUUAUCCGGAAUUAUUGGGCGUAAAGGGCGCGUAGGCGGUUCGUACAGUCAGACGUGAAAUUCCUGGGCUCAACCUGGGGGGCUGCGUUUGAUACGUGCGGACUUGAGUGCGGAAGAGGGUCGUGGAAUUCCCAGUGUAGAGGUGAAAUUCGUAGAUAUUGGGAAGAACACCGGUGGCGAAGGCGGCGACCUGGUCCGAUACUGACGCUGAGGCGCGAAAGCGUGGGGAGCAAACAGG